CUGAUAACCGAAGCUGCGGAUGGGCGCGUAAGCGUCCGUGGUAGGGGAGCGUUCUGUAGGUCUGUGAAGGUGUCUCGUAAGGGAUGCUGGAGAUAUCAGAAGUGCGAAUGCUGACAUGAGUAGCGAUAAAGCGGGUGAAAAGCCCGCUCGCCGAAAGCCCAAGGUUUCCUACGCAACGUUCAUCGGCGUACGGUGAGUCGGCCCCUAAGGCGAGGCUGAAAAGCGUAGUCGAUGGGAAACGGGUUAAAAUUCCCGUCUUUUAUGCAGUGC
RNAcentral lists this ribosomal RNA (270 nucleotides) under Chromobacterium sp. 48. Its description in RNAcentral is "partial 23S ribosomal RNA". It matches the Rfam family "Bacterial large subunit ribosomal RNA", at positions 1187 to 1456 of the family's 2925-position model. The record is from RNAcentral. Lineage: Bacteria; Pseudomonadati; Pseudomonadota; Betaproteobacteria; Neisseriales; Chromobacteriaceae.